This 474-nucleotide ribosomal RNA is filed under the name uncultured bacterium. Its description in RNAcentral is "bacterial SSU rRNA". It matches the Rfam family "Bacterial small subunit ribosomal RNA", at positions 31 to 507 of the family's 1533-position model. The record is from RNAcentral.
GAGAACGCUGGCGGCGUGCCUAACACAUGCAAGUCGAGCGGGGUUGAAGCGAGAGGUAACUCGAACUUCUACCUAGCGGCGGACGGGUGAGUAACGCGUGGGCAACCUGCCUCAAGGUUUGGGAUAACAGCCCGAAAGGGCUGCUAAUACCGGAUAUGCCUAUGGCCUCGCAUGGGGCUAUGAGCAAAGGGGAAACCCGCCUUGAGAUGGGCCCGCGUCCCAUCAGCUAGUUGGUGAGGUAACAGCUCACCAAGGCGACGACGGGUAGCCGGCCUGAGAGGGUGACCGGCCACACUGGGACUGAGACACGGCCCAGACUCCUACGGGGGGCAGCAGUGGGGGAUCUUGCACAAUGGGCGAAAGCCUGAUGCAGCGACGCCGCGUGAGCGAAGAAGGCCUUCGGGUUGUAAAGCUCUGUCUGGAGGGACGAACAAAAUGACGGUACCUCCGGAGGAAGCCACGGCUAACUACGUG